Molecule: long non-coding RNA, 1463 nt
Filed under: Mus musculus (house mouse)
Lineage: Eukaryota; Metazoa; Chordata; Mammalia; Rodentia; Muridae
Description: predicted gene 6297 (Gm6297)
Source: RNAcentral
AACCAGAGUGCGGAAGUCUUGAGGUGGAGAGGUCAUGUCCCAGAGCCCGUGCCCAAGGAAGCCAGAGGCAUGGAGUCUUAAGUCUGGCUUCAAAUUCUGAAAUCUCCUGUCUCUGAGCAGUUGUGAAGGGUGGUACAUGCUCUUAACCGCGGGGCCUCUUGCUUGGACUUUCGUUGGAAGUGGAACAAGCUAAAAACUUAUAAGAGAAAUCACAAAAUACAGGCUUGUGGACCAUUGUAGUUCUCUCGUACCUUUGCACGGGCAACUCAAGUCUUCAGUGCGUUACCAGCUGAGCGGCUGUCUCAGUGCUUUAUGGAGAUCACAGGUAAUUGGAUGUAGCCAGAGCUAAGGGAGCUGGAAAGGCUGUCUUCAAACCUACCCAAAGACAUCUUUAGCUCGUGGUCUUAAAAACCUCCGGAUUUUGGGAUUUCUACCUUGAGCUGUCCUGCCUCUCCACCGUUACUGCUUUCACUAAACUCUGUUGUGGUCACUAAAGCUACGCCACUUCCCUUACAGACUUUUUGAUGAUGUGCUGUGGUUUUGGUUGAGAAACAUCUUUUCUCAGCUUACGUGUUACCCUCUCAGAUAUCACAUCUAUCAAUAGGUUACGUCUUUAAAGCAGGGGCUCUUUACCUUCCUAACGCUGCGACCCUUUAUUACAGCUCCUCAUGUUGUGGUGUCCCCCAACCAUAAAAUUAUUUUCAUUGCUUCUUCAUAACUGCAAUGUUGUUACUGCUGUGAAUUGUAAUAUAAAUAUGUGCCAAAGGUUUUCCGAAGGGAUCAAAACCCACAGGUUUGAGAACUACUGCUUUAAGCCAACACUUUUGAGUAAAAUAUCUACUAUGCCAGGCAUACUCUAGGCCUUGCCAAUACAAAACUCUUGUAAGCCAUGGCCCCUACUCUCAAGGAACUUAACUCGUAAUGAGAUUAAAAACCAGAAUUAAAAACAAAAAACCAAACCAAAACCAUCCAACCAACCAACCAAAAUUGCAGGACUAGGCUGAUAAAGUCUGCCUUUAAUCCCAGCACUCUGAAGGCAGAGGUAGGCAGAUCUCUAAUAUAGAGGCCAGGCCAGUCUACAUAGCAGGUUCCAGGGCAGCCAAAGCUACAGAGUAAGAAAGACCCUGUCUCAAAACAAAUCAAACAAAAAACCUCGAAAAUUACCAGCAACUUCAUAUGUGAUAAUUUUGUGUGGAAAUGAGAUCUUAGCUUAGUUUGGUAGUUCUGAAAAUUCAGAACUAGGAAGCAGAACCAGGAGGCUAGUGAACUCAAGAUCACUUGAGUUAGGUGUGACACCGUCUUUGGAGUGGGAAUAUAACACAUAGAAUGAGUGCUUCUUAUUCUGUUCAAGGCCCUAGGUAUGAUUCCUAGGACUGCAAGAAGAAAAAAGAAAACUAUCUUGCAUGUGUUGUUUACAACGGAUUAUUUUGUUGGGGUAAAUAAAUCAGCCUUGUUAUUUUUUG